This 1017-nucleotide long non-coding RNA is filed under the name Homo sapiens (human). RNAcentral describes it as "HSALNT0309364". Lineage: Eukaryota; Metazoa; Chordata; Mammalia; Primates; Hominidae. The record is from RNAcentral.
GGGGAAUGCUAAUUUUUUUUUAACUGGAAGUAGAAGUGAACCAGGUAUCAGGGAAGUCUGUAGUUGCCUACCACAAACGCUGCUUAAGAAAAAUAAAUGAUAGUAAAUGUCUAACGCAAGACCAGAGAAUUUCUCCAGCUGAAUCAAAUUCACUAAGGAUAGUUCUCCAGCUGAAUUAAAUUUCUUCCAGCCGAAUCAAACUUCCUGUGGUGUCAGUCUCCCUUCUUUCCUAACCCUUCUGGCUUUAUUUCUUGGCUGCCUCUUUCAGUCAUUUGCUCUUGGGUUUAUUAGUCGAAUUCAGACUAUUUACCUUUAUUUCUAAUGGAUAACCUUUACGACAUUAUUUAUGUUCAUUGCUUAUCAAUUCUAUGAACUAAAAUUGUGGUCAAGAAGUAUUUCACUCCCUUGCCAAACCCAGCCCUGCUCAGCCCCAGAACAACCACCACUCAGGACCACGGUGCCGAAUCUCAUAACGAACUGGACAUCAAGAAGUUUCUACAUUCACUGUAAGAAUUUGAAAUGAAGAAAGAACAAUACAAGCUGCAGACCACAUAAAAAACUACUUAACAAUAUACAUACUGAUCCAUUGUGGAAUUAUUAAGGAAAAUACAUUGAAAUAGGUGGCAUUCUUGUCAAAGAUAUAUAUGGACGGCUAGAUGGAUAGAUAGGUGAAAAUCAUGUUCCAUGGAAGAAGAGUUAGCUCAGCCUGCAACUCAAACAAGUACAGAUAUUCUUCCAUGGAAUGACCAUCAUACUUGGAUUGUAAUAAAAAUGCUUUAGGCAAACUUCUCAUUUCAUCCUUGGCAUAUUAAAAAUAUGUAUGUAUGUUUAAGGCUUGAAACUUAACACUGUAUUUUAAUGUUUCAGUAAGGUAAUUCUUCUUAAAUAAAAUUGGCAUUUUUAAAAAAGCCCUCUCUCACCACUCCUAUUCAACAUAGUGUUGGAAGUUCUGGCCAGGGCAAUUAGGCAGGAGAAAGAAAUAAAGGGUAUUCAAUUAGGAAAAGAGGAAGUCAAAUU